RNAcentral lists this long non-coding RNA (534 nucleotides) under Mytilus galloprovincialis (Mediterranean mussel). Lineage: Eukaryota; Metazoa; Mollusca; Bivalvia; Mytilida; Mytilidae. The record is from RNAcentral.
GUAAGCAAGAAAUAUCUAAUUGCAAAAUAUUGUGCAAUAGCAAGAUUAUUUUUUUUAAUUGGAGUUAUCUUUCUUUGUCCAGAAUCAACUUAAAUCUUUGUUAUAUACAUAUACAAUGUAUAUUCACUUUUUACUACAACUGAUAAAUUAAAAUAAUCUUUACCAUUCAGUGAUAACAAGCAGUUUUUUUACAUCUUAAUAUUUUAUGAUGUAUUUAAAUGAGUAGUUAUUGUUGCAAACUCCAUUAGAAAUUUUAAUUGAGGUUAGUUUUGGAAUAAGGGAAAGGGGGAUGUGAUUAAAAAAAUUGGGUUAAAUUUUUCUCAUUUGAAAUUUCAUAAAUAAAAAAGAAAAUUUCUUCAAACAUUUUUUUGAGAGGAUUAAUAUUCAACAGCAUAGUGAAUUGCUCUAAGAGAAAACAAAAUUUUAGUUCAUUAGAACACAUUCAUUCUGUGUCAGAAACCUAUGCUGUGUCAACUAUUUAAUCACAAUCCAAUUUAGAGCUGAAUCCAGCUUGAAUGUUGUGUCCAUACUUGC